Molecule: long non-coding RNA, 640 nt
Organism: Pogoniulus pusillus (Red-fronted tinkerbird)
Lineage: Eukaryota; Metazoa; Chordata; Aves; Piciformes; Lybiidae
Exons: 4
Source: RefSeq, a predicted model, not a curated record
AGCACUCUUGGAUUUAGCCCCUCAGCGAUAAUCCUAGAUGCUGUAUGUUGGAUGUGGCCUUUCAGAGAAGGAUAACAUGACACUGGGUGUUUUCACACCAUUAUCCCAGGAAGAUCCUACUUAUCUACAAGACCAUAAGCUCUGUGACAACAGCAUCUGAUAACCAGACGAGACCACAAGUUCCGCUUGGUCUGGCACACAUAACUGACCAUGAGACCAGUGCGGACACCAGUCAAACAUGCCUUGACCAUGGCAGCUGAAUGGGGAAGUGUUACUAUGUUUGGAUUGGAAAAGUGAUAAAAUUCAGAGGUAACAGGGAGAGCUGGAAGCUUCCCCACCAAUCAAGACCUUGAGGAUCAGUGAGACAUCACCUGGACCCAUGGUGGUGAAGUUCGAGGGGAGUACUUUCCAAGCCUUAUUACUACUUGAACAACUAAGCUGUUGGAUAAUGCACAAGGCUGACAAGUUUUUGGUGGCAUAAAGGAAGAACACAAAGGUCACUCUGGUACCUAAUUCACUCUUUGUUCACUAAGUAAAAGCAAUAUUGAAAAGUGUGUUUUGCCUCUAGUGCCAUUUUAACAUUGAUCAAUUUGAAGAAACAAAAAUUCCUUUCACAAAGUCUCACUGAGAACAUUUUGUU